RNA transcript from Cucurbita maxima (winter squash), 4156 nucleotides. It is a transcript of the gene named probable LRR receptor-like serine/threonine-protein kinase At4g36180, with no coding region annotated. The record is from RefSeq and is a predicted model, not a curated record. NCBI's taxonomy places the organism in Eukaryota, Viridiplantae, Streptophyta, Magnoliopsida, Cucurbitales, Cucurbitaceae. The transcript is spliced from 2 exons.
UUUUGGAACUACUGCUCCAUUUACAUAAAAAAAGAGGCUCUCUGCUCUGAAUCUCUGUGCUGCAAUUUUGUGCGCCACUGUUCCCUCUCUGGGCCCUUUCGUCCCAUAUCAUACGCUCUCCUUCGCAGCGCCAACGUCUCUCUCUGAUUCCCUGUUUUUCUUUUACGCCCCCCAUUGAUAUGAUCUCUUGAUGGCUCUGUUUUUCUUGUGUUAAUCUCUUGGGUUUCUGUUUUUUCAAGCAUCUAUGAGGCUUCUUCUUGUGUUGUUCUUUGGGCUCCUGUUGUUUUCCGGUGGUUUCUCUUCCUCCGCCGCCGACAUCAGGGCGGAGAUACAGGCAUUGAUGUCGUUUAAACUUAACCUUCAUGACCCUCUUGGUGCAUUGACUGGGUGGGAUUCUUCAACCCCUUUGGCGCCUUGUGACUGGAGAGGCGUUUUAUGUGUCAAUAAUCGUGUCACUGAUCUUCGAUUGCCUCGUCUUCAACUUUCCGGCCGAUUGACCGAUCAGUUGGCUAACUUGCCGAUGCUCCGGAAGUUGAGUAUUCGAUCUAAUUUCUUCAAUGGUACCAUUCCCUCUUCUUUGUCCAAAUGUGCGUUUCUACGUUCGAUUUUCUUACAGUACAACUCGUUUUCCGGUGACCUUCCGGUGGAGUUUGGGAACUUAACCAAUCUCCAUAUUCUCAACGUGGCGGCGAAUCGCCUCUCCGGUGGAAUUCCCUACGACCUUCCGAGCAGUCUAAAGUAUCUCGAUCUUUCGUCGAAUGCAUUCUCCGGUCAGAUUCCGAGGAGCGUUGUGAACAUGACGGAGCUUCAGGUUGUGAAUCUCUCUUUCAAUAGAUUUGGCGGCGAGAUUCCGGCGAGCUUUGGUGAGCUGCAGAAGCUUAAACAUCUUUGGUUGGAUCAUAAUGUUCUAGAAGGGACAUUGCCUUCGGCUCUUGCGAAUUGUUCUUCGCUUGUUCAUUUGAGCGUUGAGGGAAAUGCCCUUCAAGGCAUAAUCCCGACAGCCAUCGGAGCUCUUCCGAAUCUUCAAGCUAUUUCGCUCUCGCAAAAUAGUCUCACUGGUUCAGUUCCUUACUCUCUGUUUUGCAAUGUGUCGUCGCAUGCGCCGUCUCUUCGAAUCGUUCAACUUGGAUUUAAUGCGUUCACGGACAUUGUCAAACCUCCGACAGCGACAUGUUUUAGUGUUCUACAGGUCCUUGAUAUCCAACAUAAUCAGAUAAAGGGGGAAUUCCCCUUGUGGUUAAUGGGUAUUCCGACAUUGACAGUCUUGGAUUUUUCUGUCAAUAAUCUCUCCGGCGAGAUUCCUCCCGGAAUUGGGAAUCUCUCGGGAUUACAAGAGCUUAAAAUGGCUAACAAUUCGUUCCACGGCGCGAUUCCGUCCGAAAUCAAGAACUGUACUUCGAUUUCUGUUAUUGAUUUUGAAGGAAAUCGUUUAACCGGAGAGAUUCCGCCGUUUUUGGGUUACAUGAGAGGUUUGAAACGAUUAUCUCUCGGAGGGAAUAAUUUCUCCGGUUACGUUCCGGCCAGUUUGGGAAAUCUUUUGGAGCUUGAAACCUUGAAUUUAGCUGAUAAUGGCUUGAGUGGAACCCUUCCUCUUGAACAGCUAAUGGGUCUUGGGAAUUUAAUGGCGAUGGAGCUCGGCGGGAACGAAUUUUCCGGCGAGGUUCCGAUUGGUAUUGGGAAUCUCAGCCGUCUUGAGAUUUUGAAUCUCAGUGCUAAUAGUUUUUUUGGGAAGAUUCCGUCUAGUCUUGGCAGUCUCUUCAAGCUAACCACCUUGGAUUUGAGCAAACAGAAUCUCUCCGGCGAGCUGCCGUUUGAGCUCUCUGGUUUGCCUAAUUUACAGGUGAUUGCUCUACAAGAGAACAAGCUAUCUGGGAAAAUUCCUGAUGGAUUCAGUAGUUUAGUGGGCUUGCGCUAUUUAAAUCUAAGCGCUAAUGGAUUUUCCGGCGAAAUCCCUUCAAAUUAUGGAUUUCUCCGAUCACUUGUUUCACUGUCGUUGUCGAAAAAUCACAUUUCUGGGUCGAUCCCUUCAGAGCUGGGGAACUGCUCUGUUCUAGAACAUUUGGAGGUCCGUUCAAAUGCUCUUUCCGGCGAUAUUCCGGCGGAUAUUUCUCGUUUAUCUCAUCUACAAGAGCUCGAUUUGGGUGGAAAUAAUUUAACUGGCGAAAUCCCUGAAGAGAUCUCUCGUUGCUCGUCUUUAAAAUCGCUCCUUCUCGACUCGAAUCGUCUCUCCGGUAGCAUACCGGAGUCGUUAUCGGAGCUCUUGAACUUAACCGAGCUCGACCUCUCAUCCAACAAUUUGAGUGGCGUUAUUCCUCUUAAUCUUAGCUCAAUUACUGGAUUAGUGAGGUUAAACGUCUCGAGUAAUGAUCUAGAAGGCGAAAUCCCAGCUUCUUUAGGCUCUAGAUUCAAUAACUCAGCUGUGUUUGCUAAUAAUUCCAAGCUAUGUGGGAAACCAUUGGCUUGGAAUUGUAAGGAUACAAAGAAAAAGGAUAGAACAAAGAGAUUGAUAUUAUUCAUAGCAGUGGCCGCCAGUGGAGCUUGUCUUUUGGCUUUGUGUUGCUGCUUUUACAUUUUCAGCUUGUUGCGAUGGCGGAAGAGGCUCAAAGAGAGGGCGUCCGGCGAGAAGAAAACAAGCCCAGCAAGGGUUAGCUCAGCGGCAAGUGGCGGCCGUGGAAGCACAGAAAAUGGAGGGCCAAAGCUUGUGAUGUUCAACAACAAGAUCACUCUAGCCGAAACAAUUGAAGCAACAAGGCAUUUCGAUGAAGAAAAUGUUCUAAGCAGGACACGUUAUGGGUUAGUUUUCAAAGCUUGUUACAACGACGGCAUGGUUCUUUCAAUCCGCCGCCUAUCAAAUGGUUCAUUGGACGAAAACAUGUUCAGAAAAGAAGCUGAAUCAUUGGGGAAAGUCAGGCACCGGAAUUUGACUGUUCUUCGUGGCUACUACGCUGGCCCUCCUGACAUGCGGCUCUUAGUAUACGAUUACAUGCCUAAUGGCAACCUCGCCACUCUGCUUCAGGAAGCAUCGCACCAAGAUGGGCAUGUUUUGAAUUGGCCAAUGCGGCAUCUCAUUGCUUUAGGCAUCGCCCGUGGCUUAGCCUUUCUCCAUUCCUCAUCCAUUAUACAUGGAGAUGUUAAGCCACAAAGUGUUCUUUUCGACGCCGAUUUCGAAGCUCAUUUGUCAGAUUUCGGGCUCGAUCGACUAACCAUUGCUGCUGCUGAAGCUUCCACAUCUAGCUUGGUGGGCACUUUGGGGUACAUUGCACCAGAAGCUGUGUUGACAGGGGAGGCCACGAAGGAAUCGGAUGUCUAUAGCUUUGGCAUUGUGUUGCUUGAGAUUCUAACGGGGAAGAAGCCAGUGAUGUUCACGGAUGAUGAAGACAUUGUCAAGUGGGUGAAAAAGCAAUUGCAAAGAGGCCAAAUUACUGAGCUUUUAGAGCCUGGUUUGCUCGAGCUGGAUCCUGAAUCCUCUGAAUGGGAAGAGUUUUUGCUUGGUGUGAAAGUUGGAUUACUUUGCACUGCACCCGAUCCCCGCGAUCGACCAGCCAUGUCGGAUAUCGUUUUCAUGCUCGAAGGAUGUCGUGUCGGACCAGACAUCCCUUCCUCUGCUGAUCCCACCUCCCAACCGUCACCGGCGUAAACCAUAAACGAAACCAACCCAACCCAACCCAACCAUGGUUCGAUGAUUCCAUUUCUCAACAUUUUAUGAAUAAACGAACAGUCAACGAUUUGGACAGCAAGCAGGCCCCGGGAGAGAGUAUCCUAAUCGUAUCAGAGGCUAUGGCUUGGGUGGGCGAAAGCCGAUGCUUUUCCACUUUUUGUGUUGGGAGGCUAAAAGGGUCUUUUCACUCCAAAACACGACAAAAAACAAAGCAGCAACAACAAGUCAGCUCUGGGUUUGGUUGUGUCUCUGUGUUUGGUCACGUGGCUUCCAGAGCUAGCUCACUGUUCUGUACACUCCAUUGUAGCCGUUAAUGUCGUGGUUUCUGAUUCGUCGUUUGCAAUCCCCCAAGUUUUCAUUUUUCAUUUGGCUCAGUGAUUUAAUAAUGCCCUCUUCCUUUCUCUGAGCUGAAGUUUUCAGAAAAACAUGGUGGUGGCGCCAUGGCGGAUUCAUAGGAUUUUGCGAACCUUUUUUCUUUUGUGUUUUUUGUUAAUGUCU